RNAcentral lists this ribosomal RNA (164 nucleotides) under Camellia pachyandra. Its description in RNAcentral is "5.8S ribosomal RNA". It matches the Rfam family "5.8S ribosomal RNA". Rfam says of the family: 5.8S ribosomal RNA (5.8S rRNA) is a component of the large subunit of the eukaryotic ribosome. Lineage: Eukaryota; Viridiplantae; Streptophyta; Magnoliopsida; Ericales; Theaceae. The record is from RNAcentral.
UAAACGACUCUCGGCAACGGAUAUCUCGGCUCUCGCAUCGAUGAAGAACGUAGCGAAAUGCGAUACUUGGUGUGAAUUGCAGAAUCCCGUGAACCAUCGAGUCUUUGAACGCAAGUUGCGCCCGAAGCCACUAGGUUGAGGGCACGUCUGCCUGGGCGUCUCAC